AGCCUGAUGCAGCAACGCCGCGUGAGGGAUGACGGCCUUCGGGUUGUAAACCUCUUUUAGCAGGGAAGAAGCGUGAGUGACGGUACCUGCAGAAAAAGCGCCGGCUAACUACGUGCCAGCAGCCGCGGUAAUACGUAGGGCGCAAGCGUUAUCCGGAAUUAUUGGGCGUAAAGAGCUCGUAGGCGGUUUGUCGCGUCUGCUGUGAAAUCCCGAGGCUCAACCUCGGGCCUGCAGUGGGUACGGGCAGACUAGAGUGCGGUAGGGGAGAUUGGAAUUCCUGGUGUAGCGGUGGAAUGCGCAGAUAUCAGGAGGAACACCGAUGGCGAAGGCAGAUCUCUGGGCCGUAACUGACGCUGAGGAGCGAAAGGGUGGGGAGCAAACAGGCUUAGAUACCCUGGUAGUCCACCCCGUAAACGUUGGGAACUAGUUGUGGGGUCCAUUCCACGGAUUCCGUGACGCAGCUAACGCAUUAAGUUCCCCGCCUGGGGAGUACGGCCGCAAGGCUAAAACUCAAAGGAAUUGACGGGGACCCGCACAAGCGGCGGAGCAUGCGGAUUAAUUCGAUGCAACGCGAAGAACCUUACCAAGGCUUGACAUAUACCAGAACGGGCCAGAAAUGGUCAACUCUUUGGACACUC
RNAcentral lists this ribosomal RNA (638 nucleotides) under Microbacterium sp. So2Ps_1712. RNAcentral describes it as "bacterial SSU rRNA". It matches the Rfam family "Bacterial small subunit ribosomal RNA", at positions 380 to 1029 of the family's 1533-position model. The record is from RNAcentral. Lineage: Bacteria; Bacillati; Actinomycetota; Actinomycetes; Micrococcales; Microbacteriaceae.